RNAcentral lists this ribosomal RNA (349 nucleotides) under uncultured Rhodospirillales bacterium. RNAcentral describes it as "bacterial SSU rRNA". It matches the Rfam family "Bacterial small subunit ribosomal RNA", at positions 1034 to 1382 of the family's 1533-position model. Lineage: Bacteria; Pseudomonadati; Pseudomonadota; Alphaproteobacteria; Rhodospirillales. The record is from RNAcentral.
ACAGGUGCUGCAUGGCUGUCGUCAGCUCGUGUCGUGAGAUGUUGGGUUAAGUCCCGCAACGAGCGCAACCCUCGUCUCCAGUUGCCAUCAGGUUAAGCUGGGCACUUUGGAGAAACUGCCGGUGACAAGCCGGAGGAAGGUGGGGAUGACGUCAAGUCCUCAUGGCCCUUACGGGCUGGGCUACACACGUGCUACAAUGGCGGUGACAAUGGGAAGCAAUGGCGCGAGCCGGAGCCGAUCCUUAAAAACCGUACUCAGUUCGGAUUGCACUCUGCAACUCGAGUGCAUGAAGGUGGAAUCGCUAGUAAUCGAGGAUCAGCAUGCCUCGGUGAAUACGUUCCCGGGCCUU